GUUCCAUUCCGAACCCAGAAGCUAAGACUCUUUGCGCCGAUGGUACUGCACUUUUGUGGGUGUGGGAGAGUAGGUCGUCGCCGCUU
Molecule: ribosomal RNA, 86 nt
Filed under: Rothia sp. (in: high G+C Gram-positive bacteria)
Lineage: Bacteria; Bacillati; Actinomycetota; Actinomycetes; Micrococcales; Micrococcaceae
Source: RNAcentral